AGCUAAUGUCUGAUCGGGAGGAUGGCUGAGGACCUCAGGUUCUGGUGUCCAGGUGCUCUGAGCUCUUAAAAAAGGAAGGAAUUACUUCAAUAUGAAAUCAGAUGGUUCCCUUCCAUGUGGUGUGGUGGAAAAAGCAUAGACUUUGAGGCCCACAGACUGUAACUUUAACAUACCGACUUUUCAGAGCAUCAUAAGGAUAAAUGCACUCAUGUGGAGUCUCAUUCUGUCACCAGGCUGGAGUGCAGUGGCACGAUCUCGGCUCACUGCAACUUCCGCCUCCUGGGUUCAAGUGGUUCUCCUGCCUCAGCCUCCUGAGUAGCUGGGACUACAGGUGCGCACCACCACAUUCAGGCAACCGUUGAACCUUGGGAAAACCGUGUGGCAGAGUGGGGACCACAAACAUGUUUCUAAUAAGUGACCGUGACCCUCAGUGCAACCUCCACUGCUCCAGGACUCAACCCAAACCCAUCUGUGCCUCUGAUGGCAGGUCCUACGAGUCCAUGUGUGAGUACCAGCGAGCCAAGUGCCGAGACCCGACCCUGGGCGUGGUGCAUCGAGGUAGAUGCAAAG
This 570-nucleotide small RNA is filed under the name Pongo abelii (Sumatran orangutan). RNAcentral describes it as "processed transcript". Lineage: Eukaryota; Metazoa; Chordata; Mammalia; Primates; Hominidae. The record is from RNAcentral.